RNAcentral lists this unclassified non-coding RNA (352 nucleotides) under uncultured Glomeromycotina. RNAcentral's name for it is "sequence contains 28S rRNA gene". Lineage: Eukaryota; Fungi; Glomeromycota. The record is from RNAcentral.
GGAGUCAAAUAGUGCGUGAAAUUGUUGAAAGGGAAACGAUUGAAGUCAGUCAUGCUUGUAGGGAAUCAACAUGGUGGUUUUCUUCCUUGUGCACUUCCUUGCUUGGCAGGUUAGCAUCAAUUUUAAUUGUCAUUAAAGAACCGGGGGAAUGUGGCUUCUUCGGGAGUGUUAUAGACCUUGGUAGAUGUGACGAUUAGGAUUGAGGAUUGCAGCGAAUGCUUCUUGGCUAGUCACCUGGCUUCUGACGGUCACCUUGCUUUCGAUAGCAUGCUAACGUUGGUGAGAUUUGAUUGUCUAGAUGUUAGUGUGAUCAUAAAUUCGCUAAGGAUGCUGACGUAAUGGCUUUAAACGA